GGGAGGCUUAGAAGUGUGGACGCCAGUCUGCAUGGAGCCGACCUUGAAAUACCACCCUUUAAUGUUUGAUGUUCUAACGUUGACCCGUAAUCCGGGUUGCGGACAGUGUCUGGUGGGUAGUUUGACUGGGGCGGUCUCCUCCUAAAGAGUAACGGAGGAGCACGAAGGUUGGCUAAUCCUGGUCGGACAUCAGGAGGUUAGUGCAAUGGCAUAAGCCAGCUUGACUGCGAGCGUGACGGCGCGAGCAGGUGCGAAAGCAGGUCAUAGUGAUCCGGUGGUUCUGAAUGGAAGGGCCAUCGCUCAACGGAUAAAAGGUACUCCGGGGAUAACAGGCUGAUACCGCCCAAGAGUUCAUAUCGACGGCGGUGUUUGGCACCUCGAUGUCGGCUCAUCACAUCCUGGGGCUGAAGUAGGUCCCAAGGGUAUGGCUGUUCGCCAUUUAAAGUGGUACGCGAGCUGGGUUUAGAACGUCGUGAGACAGUUCGGUCCCUAUCUGCCGUGGGCGCUGGAGAACUGAGGGGGGCUGCUCCUAGUACGAGAGGACCGGAGUGGACGCAUCACUGGUGUUCGGGUUGUCAUGCCAAUGGCACUGCCCGGUAGCUAAAUGCGGAAGAGAUAAGUGCUGAAAGCAUCUAAGCACGAAACUUGCC
RNAcentral lists this ribosomal RNA (650 nucleotides) under Escherichia coli. RNAcentral's name for it is "partial 23S ribosomal RNA". It matches the Rfam family "Bacterial large subunit ribosomal RNA", at positions 2149 to 2798 of the family's 2925-position model. Lineage: Bacteria; Pseudomonadati; Pseudomonadota; Gammaproteobacteria; Enterobacterales; Enterobacteriaceae. The record is from RNAcentral.